This is an RNA transcript of Pyrus x bretschneideri (Chinese white pear), 2213 nucleotides long. RefSeq lists it as uncharacterized. Lineage: Eukaryota; Viridiplantae; Streptophyta; Magnoliopsida; Rosales; Rosaceae. The transcript is spliced from 6 exons. The record is from RefSeq and is a predicted model, not a curated record.
AUCUCGCUCUUUCUACAACAUAAAGCUCAGUUGCUAUUUUCUCUGAUUCCUUCUUUCCUCCCUCCGUCUCUCACACUCUGUUUGUUUUUUUCCUUUGCUUUCUCUGCUUUUCCGGGAAAGUUGAAUCAUUUUCUCGCUGUUCUGUUACAAAAUCGUGUCUUUGGUUGCCAAACUACAAAAACCCAGAAAUCUCUCGCGCAGAAAACUUGGUUUUCAGCUCUUUUUGUUCUGGUUUUCUAAAAUUUUUCUGUCAUUUUCUCGGGAAAAUUCGAUUGAAAGGCAGGUUUUUUUCUUCUGGGUUUUUUAUAAUUUUGAUUUGUGGGAUUGAUUUAGCUUCAAGGUUUAACGUUGAAUUGUCGUGACUGUGAUCAAGGGACUUGAGUUUUCUUUAAGGUUGGUGAAGAGAGAAAAACGAUUACAAAAACCCGAAAAAACAGGGAGAGAAUUCCGUGUCCGGAGGAUUGACCGGAAUUUGAUUCUCCGGCCAACGGAAAUCCGUUGGGAAUUGAUAGCAUUGCCAGCGAAGACUCUUAUCUGUGAAGAGAAAAAACAGAGAAGCGAAGACUCGCCCGUGAAUUGUUGUGUCCAAACGUUAAAAAAUAGAACUCUUUCGUAGGCCCAUUUCCCAUUUUUCUCUCACUUGUCAAGGGAAAUCUAAUCCCGACAUUCAGUCUCUCUUCUCUUUCCCAUUUCUCUCGCUUUCUCUCUCCUCUCCUCUCCUUUCUCUCUUUCUCUCUCUCUGUUUUUUUCUCUUUUAGAAGGCUCGUUCUGUUUUCCUGGUUGGGGUGAGAGAAACAUUUUUUUCUCUCUCUGAUUCAGGGUGAGCGAAAAACUCAAAUUUUCUCUCUCCCCCCUCUCUCUCUCUCUAGAAUUGCAGAGGAAAGAAAAAGAAAUGAUUUUGGACAAAGGGUCAAUGCAAUCAAACCUUGACUGCUUCCUCCAUUGUACAACCCCAGUGCUCCGACCCCAAUUCCUACCCAAGUCUGAGAUGAGGAACCUCAAUCGGCUAUGGCAUCCAUGGGAGAGAGAAAAGGUUGAGUAUUUCACAUUGAGUGAUCUCUGGAAUUGCUAUGAUGAAUGGAGUGCUUAUGGCGCCGGAGUUCCGAUCGCCAUGGACAGGGCGAGACCCUUGUGCAGUACUAUGUGCCUUACCUCUCUGCUAUCCAAAUUUUCACUAGCAAUUCGUCUGUGAAUAGCUUCAGGGAAGAGGCCGAAUCAGGCGACUGCGAGACUAGGGAUUCGUUUAGCGAUUCGUGCAGCUUUGAGAGUGAAAGUGAUAAGUGGAGAUGGGAUGGAUGCUCUUCGGAAGAUGGCGGGUUCGAGCAAGACAAUCUCUGGCAUGUGAAUGAUAGAUUAGGGUGCCUAUAUUUUGAGUAUUUUGAGAGAUCAACUCCCUAUGGAAGAGUUCCUCUCAUGGAUAAGAUCAAUUCGUUAGCUCAAAGAUACCCUGGCUUGAUGUCAUUAAGGAGCGUUGAUCUCUCACCAGCUAGUUGGAUGGCUGUUGCUUGGUAUCCAAUUUAUCACAUUCCAAUGGGAAGGACUAUAAAGGAUCUGUCCACAUCCUUCCUCACUUACCACACCCUUUCAUCUUCUUUUCAAGACAUGGACCUUGAGGAUGAUAUUGAGAACAACGAGCAACAGAAGCGUAAGAAAGGGGGAGGCAUCUCUCUCCCUCCAUUUGGUUUGGCCACUUACAAGAUGCAAGGAAAUGUGUGGGUAUCAGGCAAUUGUGGAAAGGACCGAGAGAGGCUCAUGUCGCUAUUGAGCGUGGCGGAUUCUUGGCUAAAGCAGCUUAGGGUCCAGCACCAUGACUUCAACUAUUUCACAGCUAUUCGGCGUGGCCAGUGCCACUACCUUUAAGUUUUAAAAGAACUCCUCCACUUGAAAGUGAAAGUGAUGGACCGCUGAACUCCUCUUUUCGGAUAAUCUGGUUUUCGUUGACCUUUUGUUUUGGAGUUUAAUUAGCCGAUGAGGCUGAUUAAGGAUUGUGGUUAUUUGCUAGGGUGUUUUAGUGUUGAGCUCAUGUUUGAGGUCAGCAGAUGAGGGUAUGUGAUGAAUGACUUUGACUCCUUUUGUUGGGACUUUGUAUGUAGUAGAGACGGGUGAGGUUAGAGAGAGGCUCUUUGAAUCAUGAGUUUGUAGUGGUUUGUGUAAAUUAUUAUAUGUUCUCUUGACCGUCUAUGGAACUUUGGGGAGACGAGGAAAUUGCCCUA